UACGUAGGGUGCAAGCGUUAAUCGGAAUUACUGGGCGUAAAGCGUGCGCAGGCGGUUUUGUAAGACAGGUGUGAAAUCCCCGGGCUUAACCUGGGAACUGCAUUUGUGACUGCAAGGCUGGAGUGCGGCAGAGGGGGAUGGAAUUCCGCGUGUAGCAGUGAAAUGCGUAGGUAUGCGGAGGAACACCGAUGGCGAAGGCAAUCCCCUGGGCCUGCACUGACGCUCAUGCACGAAAGCGUGGGGAGCAAACAGG
Molecule: ribosomal RNA, 253 nt
Filed under: uncultured bacterium
Lineage: Bacteria
Description: partial 16S ribosomal RNA
Rfam family: Bacterial small subunit ribosomal RNA
Source: RNAcentral